UUCUCUUUCAUUCCUCUGUCUCUUCCCCGCGCCGCUCGAUCCCCUUUUCAUUUCGAACACGUAACCCAGAAGGCAACUGAGACUCUGAGAGAGAUAUCCAUGGCGAUUUGGAGCCCCCCCUCGCCGCUCGUUGGUUGGUGGUGACUCGUCGGCGCUCUCCCACCUGCUGCCCCGCUCCCUCCGCCUCGUCGUUGUUUCUCCAGCCCAAGGCCUGCAGCAUCUCUCCGCCCCGCAUCCACCUUGGCACCAUUAUUUCGCCGCUCGUCGGUUUUGUUCGAUUCGAGUCGCCUGAAGCCGAUGACCGAGGAGAUGACAGUCAAUUUGAUGGUUUACAGAGAGGUGUAGCCUUGAGUGUGGUGUGGUAGGCUGACUGCUGUACCCACGCGACAGGGUGUGUGUGCUCUGUAUUUUUUAGCAUGUCAUGCCGUGUGUGAGAGGGUGUUCUGGAUAGUUUUGCCUGAUAAUGUUAGUUAGUUAUUUUUUUGUAGUUUUUGUGUAAUUUAUUUGUUAGGCACUUUAGUUAUUCAGUUGUAAUAUAAUUCUAAACAAACAUAUGGUAAAUGUUACAGCUAUAUAGCUGUUAGAAAUUUAUGCAUAUGCAUAAAGUUCUUUGCGCUUUUACGGCAGUAGUUUUGUAUUUUUAUGAUUUAGUUCAUGUAUUUUUUGUAUUUGUCUGGCUGAUCUUUGUACGGAUCUGCCUUUGGUGUAUGUAAAUAUUCUUUUUUUGUAUUGUUUUACCUUUCUGCCAUUUCUUCUUAGCAUUUGUUCCUUUCUAUGUGUUUUUAUAUAUUUUGGAAAUAGAUUAAAGUAUGGGUAGAAUCAUGAAGGGUCUUGGUAAGGGCUUUUCUUCUGCUUGCUUUGAAGAGUCUGAUGAUUUGGAUGGGGAUCCUUUUGUCCCCAAUGAUUUCGCCGAGGACGAUUCUUUCCAAGCUUCAGAGGAAGGUUCAAUGGAUGAUCCUGAUUUUGACAAAGCUUUGUAUGAUUUCUAUGUGUCGCAUGGAAGCGUGUUGUUGUAAUUAUUGCAUUUUGUUCCAGUUUUCAUUUAUGUUUGUUUUUAUUGUAUAAUUCAUUGCCUGUUUAUAUAUCUUGCAGAAAGCGAAUUGCCUGAAACGGAAGAUAACAGAUGUUGGAGCUCGCAAUGUGAAGCGCACGAGGUCUUCUGAUUUUCCGGUAGCAAAUACAUUCGCUAGAUACUCUAGCAAGUUGUUCUCCACUGUUAUUGUCGGCUUGUCUCCUCGGCAAGUACGUGUUCUUCAGAGAUAUGGGGAAGAUUGCCUUCUCAAAUUUGUGAGGACAGAGGUGCCACUUAGGUUUGUCAAAUGGCUAGCAUCCAAAUUUGAUGUUCGUGCUUCAGUGAUUCAGAUUAGGAAAACGUUUAUUCCGAUUUGCGAAUAUGUCACCCAUGAUAUAUUAGGUCUUCCUGUUGACGGUGAGCCUAUUGUGUCCGAUGCUGAUGCUGGUUGUGAGUUUAUCUUGUCUCAUUUCAAUGUGACUAGCAUCCCACCAGUUUCAUUCUUCUGCAAUAAACUAAAAUCUACCUCUGAAGAAUUGCCCGAUGAAGACAUUUUCA
Triticum aestivum (bread wheat) is the source of this 1570-nucleotide long non-coding RNA. RefSeq lists it as uncharacterized. The record is from RefSeq and is a predicted model, not a curated record. The transcript is spliced from 5 exons. Lineage: Eukaryota; Viridiplantae; Streptophyta; Magnoliopsida; Poales; Poaceae.